This 1062-nucleotide long non-coding RNA is filed under the name Canis lupus familiaris (dog). Its description in RNAcentral is "lncRNA (ENSCAFG00040001344.1)". Lineage: Eukaryota; Metazoa; Chordata; Mammalia; Carnivora; Canidae. The record is from RNAcentral.
AGUUCAGGAAGGACGAAUCCGCGCAAGAGGAAGGCUACGAAGAGGCCGCGGCCAGCGCGGGGGGGGACGGCGACCACGCGCGCCCGGGGCCGCGGGGAAACCAGCCCCUGGCAGGAGCCCCGCAGCCUCCCGCCCGCCUUCACUCGCUCCGCCCAAGGCCUCCGUCGGGUUCCGCGCGCAGAGCACCGGGGCGGCCCACGCUUCGGAGCCUGUGACGCCGCCGUCGGGGACUCGGCCCCUCGGCGGCGGCGGGCGGGGGUCCCGGCUCCCGAGGCGGCUCCUCCCGGGACCCCAAGCCGCCCAGCGAGCCGCCGAGAGGACGGGCGGGACGCGCCCCCCGCAGUCCCACCUACCCCCCGACUAGGACUCGGCCACGUCCGCGGCCCCCGCCCCCCGCAGCCCCACCGCAGGACCGCCCCGCCGCGCGCUCACCCCGGCGCUCCGGGCGGCUACGGAAAGCGAGAGGAGUCAGGCCGCCUCCGGGCCCCGGUCCGCGCGCCCCGCAGCCCCGCCCCGCAGCCCCGCCCCGCCUGUGUGCCCGCCGCGCUCGGGGCCCUGCCGGGGGGGAGGGGCAGGCGGCGGGGCGGGGCGGGGCGGGGCGGGGCGGGGCGGGGCGGGGCGCGCGCCCUGCGAACUCCUGAGCGCGUCCUCCUGCCUCCGCCCGGGCGCCGUGGGGGUGCACGGAAGCGGCUUGGAAAGAAGGGAUCCGCCUGCGCCCCGCGAGUCCCCGUGCGUGCAGCUGCCGCGGACUCUGCCUCGGAUCACGGUCCGAAGGGCGCUGCGCAGGAGGACCCGACCCGCAGACGCCCCGUCGCCCUGGGAUGGGGGCCCCCGGGGUGUCGCCGAGUGCCGGGGGCGGGUUCGCCGCCCUUCCGGGGCCGGGGGCCCGAGGCCGAAAGCGCCCACUGGCCGCGCGAAACUGGACUCGCAGCCGCAGUGAGGGACUCACCAGGUCCCGGCGAGGGCAGGGGGCGAGUGACCCCCCUCGGGGAAGGCCGGCGGCUCGCGGCUCGGGGAGGGGCGGGGCCAAGGCGGGGGAGGGGCGGGGCCGCAGCGGGGUAG